This 433-nucleotide ribosomal RNA is filed under the name uncultured bacterium. RNAcentral describes it as "partial 16S ribosomal RNA". It matches the Rfam family "Bacterial small subunit ribosomal RNA", at positions 29 to 507 of the family's 1533-position model. The record is from RNAcentral.
AACGAACGCUGGCGGCAUGCCUAACACAUGCAAGUCGAACGAGACCUUCGGGUCUAGUGGCGCACGGGUGCGUAACGCGUGGGAACCUGCCCUUAGGUUCGGAAUAACUCCCCGAAAGGGGUGCUAAUACCGGAUAAUGUCUUCGGACCAAAGAUUUAUCGCCUUUGGAUGGGCCUGCGUUGGAUUAGCUAGUUGGUAGGGUAAAAGCCUACCAAGGCGACGAUCCAUAGCUGGUCUGAGAGGAUGAUCAGCCACACUGGGACUGAGACACGGCCCAGACUCCUACGGGAGGGAGCAGGUGGGAAUAUUGGACAAUGGGCGAAAGCCUGAUCCAGCAAUGCCGCGUGAGUGAUGAAGGCCUUAGGGUUGUAAAGCUCUUUUACCCGGGAUGAUAAUGACAGUACCGGGAGAAUAAGCUCCGGCUAACUCCGUG